This 441-nucleotide ribosomal RNA is filed under the name uncultured bacterium. Its description in RNAcentral is "partial 16S ribosomal RNA". It matches the Rfam family "Bacterial small subunit ribosomal RNA", at positions 339 to 795 of the family's 1533-position model. The record is from RNAcentral.
CUACGGGGGGCUGCAGCAGGGAAUAUUGCGCAAUGGGCGAAAGCCUGACGCAGCAACGCCGCGUGAGUGAUGAAGGCCCUCGGGUCGUAAAGCUCUUUUAUUGGGGAAGAAGUUCUGACGGUACCCAAUGAAUAAGCCUCGGCUAAUUACGUGCCAGCAGCCGCGGUGACACGUGAGAGGCAAGCGUUAUCCGGAUUUAUUGGGCGUAAAGGGCGUGUAGGCGGCCCGGCAAGUCUUUUGUGAAAUCUCCCGGCUUAACUGGGAUAGGUCAAGAGAAACUGUCGGGCUUGAGGACAGCAGAGGAAAGUGGACUUCCCGAUGUAGCGGUGAAAUGCGUAGAUAUCGGGAGGAACACCAGUGGCGAAGGCGACUUUCUGGGCUGUUUCUGACGCUGAGGCGCGAAAGCGUGGGUAGCAAACAGGAUUAGAUACCCUCGUAGUC